Penaeus vannamei (Pacific white shrimp) is the source of this 956-nucleotide non-coding RNA. The record is from RefSeq and is a predicted model, not a curated record. Lineage: Eukaryota; Metazoa; Arthropoda; Malacostraca; Decapoda; Penaeidae.
CAAAAUGUGUUAUAGACAUUAGAUCUUUCAGGUAUUUAUUUUGAUUUUGUGUAGAACACGUGUAGCUAGUAGCAACGGGUGAAAUUGUAUUUUACGUUCUUUGAAGACCCUAAAGACAUUUUACAAAUAUUUUCAAUUUGGCGGAAUUCUAUCAAAAUGUAAUCAACCAAAAUUGUGGACUUGAGGAUUUGUAAUUGUUCUUUUGCCACGUGUGUUCUUUGCCGUGCACUGUUAUCUGUUCAGUGAUCUGUUCAGGGCAUGGCACAUCCCGAACAGAUCACAUGGGCACUGGGCACUUGUGCUUCAUGGUCUGGUAGAAGCAAUGGGCACGUGGUCAGAUGGCCUGGAAGCACAAAGCAGUGAGCUAUGUUUGGCGUGAACAACUUUAAAUGGAUGGCCUGGACGCACACAGCAGUGAGCUAUGUUUGCAGUGAACAGCUUUAAAUGGAUGGCCUGGAAGCACACAACAGUGAGCUAUGUAUAGAGUGAACAGCUUUAAAUGAGUGGCUUGAAAACGUCUGGCAGUGGACAGUGUAGAAUGAGCAACACUAUUUUUUGUGUAUACUCUAUGAAUUAUGAUUAAAAAAAUAUAUAUUUGUAUGUGAAAAUGACAGAGGGUAGGUGUUAAUUGAACUACAGUCAUGGUAUAGUGCAUUAAUGUAAAUACAUAGUGUGAUCAAAGAAUUAAUAAAAGCAAAACUUUUGAUAAAUACAUUAUUGUGCCGUUGUUCUGAUAACACCUUUGGAUGUGCAAGCCUUCAGAUGGUCCAGUAUCAUUUUUUUCUAAUUGAUUUUUGUAUCAAUUUGAAAUGCUUAAAAAAUAUUUGUAAAAAAAUUGCACUUAUGAAUUUAAUUAUCACAUUAUCAGUGCUACAGUUUAGAUGAGAUUUUAUUCAAAUUAAAUUUCUUAAUUCCUCUCUUGUACAGGAUUUUUAAGAAUAAAUAUAACAACCAUU